RNAcentral lists this ribosomal RNA (253 nucleotides) under uncultured bacterium. RNAcentral's name for it is "partial 16S ribosomal RNA". It matches the Rfam family "Bacterial small subunit ribosomal RNA", at positions 524 to 776 of the family's 1533-position model. The record is from RNAcentral.
UACGUAGGGGGCAAGCGUUAUCCGGAUUUACUGGGUGUAAAGGGAGCGUAGACGGCAUGGCAAGCCAGAUGUGAAAUACCGGGGCUCAACCCCGGGACUGCAUUUGGAACUGUUAAGCUGGAGUGUCGGAGAGGCAGGCGGAAUUCCUAGUGUAGCGGUGAAAUGCGUAGGUAUUAGGAGGAACACCAGUGGCGAAGGCGGCCUGCUGGACGAUAACUGACGUUGAGGCUCGAAAGCGUGGGGAGCAAACAGG